AUGAACGCUGGCGGCAUGUCUAAGGCAUGCAAGUCGAACGGUUCGCCAUAGCUCGCAAGAGCGACGGCGGAUAGUGGCAAACGGGAGCGGAACACAUUGGUAACCUACCUCGAGCUCGUGAACAACCAUUGGAAACGGUGGCUAAUACACGAUAUAGUCCCGACGGUAAACGUCGGGAUAAAAGCUCCGGCGGCACGAGAGGGGCCUAUGUCCUAUCAGCUUGUUGGUGUGGUAAUGGCUCACCAAGGCUAUGACGGGUACCGGGCGUGAGAGCGUGGCCCGGCUCACUGGGACUGAGACACUGCCCAGACACCUACGGGUGGCUGCAGUCGAGAAUCUUCCGCAAUGCACGAAAGUGUGACGGAGCAAUGCCGCGUGAUUGAUGAAGGCCUUCGGGUCGUAAAGAUCUUUUAUCAGGGACGAACAAAUGACGGUACCUGAUGAAUAAGAGGUUGCUAACUCUGU
Molecule: ribosomal RNA, 465 nt
Filed under: uncultured bacterium
Lineage: Bacteria
Description: bacterial SSU rRNA
Rfam family: Bacterial small subunit ribosomal RNA
Source: RNAcentral